Molecule: ribosomal RNA, 515 nt
Filed under: Dolichopoda petrochilosi
Lineage: Eukaryota; Metazoa; Arthropoda; Insecta; Orthoptera; Rhaphidophoridae
Description: partial 16S ribosomal RNA
Rfam family: Bacterial large subunit ribosomal RNA
Source: RNAcentral
GAUAAUAAUUUAAAGUCUGACCUGCCCACUGAUAUUAAUUAAAGGGCCGCAGUAUUUUGACUGUGCAAAGGUAGCAUAAUCAUUAGUCUUUUAAUUGAGGACUGGUAUGAAUGGUUUAACGAAAUAUUAGCUGUCUCAUAGUAAUAAUAUAGAAUUUAACUUUUAAGUCAAAAGGCUUAAAUGUAAUUAGAGGACGAGAAGACCCUAUAGAGCUUAAUAUUUAUAUUUUUAAAUUUUAUUUAGGUGUUUAUAAUUUUUAGAUUUAAGAAUAUUUUAUUGGGGUGAUAAGAAGAUUAAAAUAACUCUUUAUUUAUAUAAACAUUAAUUUAUGAAUAAUUGAUCCAUUAAUAAUGAUUAUAAGAUUAAGUUACCUUAGGGAUAACAGCGUAAUAUUUUUUGAGAGUUCUUAUCAACAAAAAAGAUUGCGACCUCGAUGUUGGAUUAAGGUAAUAAUUGGGUGUAGAAGUUCAAAUUUUAGGUCUGUUCGACCUUUAAAUCCUUACAUGAUCUGAGUU